GGAGGUCCCUGCCUCAGUCCAGGCAAGGCUGUGGCCUAGACGAGGUGGCGGGCUCGUGUGGAUGUGGAGAGAGUGCAACAAAGAAUCAGAAUGGCCACAUGAAGUAAUCCUAAGUGACACUAGCCUGAUGUAGAUCCCAUUCAAUGCAGUCCCUGCCUUCCAGGUGGCCUUUAGUGAGCCAGUGGCUCGGAUUUAUGUGGUCAGAUUCUGAGCCGGCAGACACAAGGACAAGCCAGCGAGAGGUGUGGCAGGACUGGAGAUUCUGUGUAGGUCUGUAUGUGAUGGGCUUUAUGAAAUGCAUCUAUUUAAUGUACUCCAAGCCAAUUCUAAAUGAAGCAUGAUGCAGCCAAAUAUGAAAGGAGCUCAUUAUUGAUACAUUUUAUGGACCGAAUUGUGUUCUCUGGAAAAGGUAGUUGAAGUCCCUUAAUAUGUGACCUUAUUUGGAGGAAUAGGAUCUUAAAGAAGUAAUCAAGUUAAAAUCACGUCAUUCAAGUGGGCUCUAAUCCAAUAUAACUGAUGUCUUUAUUAGAAGGUUAAAUUUGAACAGAGACAGAUGUGCAUAGAGAGAAGGUUGUGUGAAGAGACACAGGAAGGAGACGGCCAUCUAUUUGGAACAGAGCUUCCCUUAUAGACCUCAGAAGGAACCAACUCUGAUACCUUGGUUUUGGGCUUCCAGACUCCAGAACUGUGAGACAAUAAAUUCCUGUUAUUUAAGGCUCACCAGUCUGCGGGGCUUUGCCAUGGCAUCCUAAGAAAGUGAGCGUGAAACUUAAUUCAUCAGUACGGAAAACAUCUUGGCAGUUUAACCACUAUUGUAAUACUCAUGUAUUGAUACGUGUUUCAGAAUUUUUCUGCUCUCUUCCUCAGUAUGUAUGUACAGCAAAAGCUUCAGAGAGAAACUCCAGGCCAUGCAAACUCAUGAACUAAACUCUGGGAGAGGUGCUGGUGAUGACCUGGAAGGGAAAGAUGAGUGUUUGGCACAGGACGGGACCGACCGAAAGUGGUUGUGUGGGAGGGUUUGAUGGGGUGGCUGCUGGUUGUUGUUGGGAGAGGAGGGGCAGGUGGGUUCUCUCCUCUGGCAAGGCCACGGGUGUGGUCUGGCUUGGAGCAGGAUCCAGAGCCAUUGAACUCUGAGGAACUAUGAAGCUCCUGCUGCAGGUAGGAAAGAAAGAGAAGGUGAGAAGAUAGGAGGAAGCUUCCCAAUGCCCUAGACAGGUUGCAGGUGAGGGCACAGACCCCUGUGCAGAUGUGCUGGAGCUGCAGUGCAGUGGGAUGCCCGGGAACAUGGGGGGCUCCUGACUUAGUGCUGAGAUGCCUGGAAGUCAAAGGCACGUGGAGAUGGCGAGCUGCACGAUGAGAAGUGUGAUCUCCUCCUUCCAAACUGCAGAGAGACCUGGAUUACCCUGUCCCUGAUCCUUACUGGCUGUGGAAUCCAGAAAAAUUCUCCUAACCUGCAGUCUCAGUUUUCUCAUCUCAAAAAUGGGGUUAAUAUUAGUGUAUGUAUCACAUUAUGUUGUGAAGAUUAAAUGAAAUAAUGAACAUCUGGAGCAUAGUAAAUGCUCAAUAAAUGUAGGCUGAAUAAAAAAGAGAUCCCCAGACCAGCAUUAUACAA
RNAcentral lists this long non-coding RNA (1612 nucleotides) under Homo sapiens (human). RNAcentral describes it as "long intergenic non-protein coding RNA 1622". Lineage: Eukaryota; Metazoa; Chordata; Mammalia; Primates; Hominidae. The record is from RNAcentral.